UAUAUUAAAGUUGAAUAUAUUUAAAUAGAUAAUUAGAUUGAAAUAAUAUUAUAUCCUAUUAAAUAAUUAAAUAAUAAAUAUUUAACACAUAGAUUUAAAUUAAAUGAAACAGUGUAUUUAAACGUGCGCUGGCCACGAGGGGCGUUAACGUGAUGUUACGUGAGUGACGUAAACGUGAUGGCAAAAAAAAAAAAAAAAACGUAAACGUAACGUGAUGGCGCAAAUAACCACGAAGACGGAAGAAUAAUAUAUAACUGCCGCCAUCCUUUAAUUUAUUUAUUUCUACGUUGAGGACACUUUAUAAACCUACAGAGAUACCCGACCAACGAACGACCUUCACAACGGGACGGAGCUAACGUAAUUAACGUUAACGGUUACUUGGAAAUUCAAACAGUAACGGUCAUCUGACAACUGCGCUGAGCCAAAGGUAAGAAUAAAUGUGCUUUUAUUCAUCGUUUUAUCAAUCUAAUGUUAAAUUUUACUUCAGUUUAAUAUUUCAAAUUAUUUAUUUGGAUUAUAAAGAUUAUAUAUUUUCAAAUUCCUCUUUUUGUAAUUGUACAUAACGUUAUCCCUGUUGGUUAAUUUGAGGUGGUCCAAGUUACAGUCUGAGGACGGGAACAGCAACAAGAGUUUAACUUCUGAUUCGUAAGCUACACACUCUACUGGGCAGUUCAUGAAGACAGAUAGAUGUUGUGCCGACCAGGACAGUUCCUCCUACCACACCAGACUUUGCUGUAUAUGGAUGCCUGACCACUAGCACUGGACAUUUACAACAUUUUGGCGCCAGGGAUCCCUUGAAGAGAAAAUUUUUCAAGGACACCCUCAGAAUUACAACAGAUUUUAAGGCUUAAAAUUAUUGUGGGUGGGAGUAUAAUAAACAUAAUAUGAUUGUUUUAUUUUAUUAUUAUUAUUUAUUUUUAAAUAGUUCCCAUUUUUUAAUAAUACAUUUGUUUAAUAAUACAGCACAAUAUAGGGCUAAGUUGCACCAGGUCAGGAAAAAACACAUAAGUUGCAUCUGUGUAUAAGACACAUUUUACUAUUAAUUUCAGAAAUAAUUUAAAUACUGAUAAAUAAAGCAAACGUUAAGAAACUUAAAAACUAUGAACACUGUAAAGAUUUUAUUUUCCCUCACUUCAAAUCAUUUAAAUUGAAAACUAUUCAAAACAGAAUAAAAAUAAAAAUAUUUAGGCCUAUGUAUAAAAUAAAAAAAAAUUCUAGUGCCAUUAUUUGCAAGCAGUAUAUCUUUUGUUAAUUAAAAUGCACUUGCUAUCUCAGUUUCUGUGAACCUCAUUCUGAAAUGUAGAAAAACACAGUGGUACAGACAAUACCACUGUGUACAGACAGGCUUGUCACACAGACAUGA
This is a long non-coding RNA of Cyprinus carpio (common carp), 1363 nucleotides long. RefSeq lists it as uncharacterized. The transcript is spliced from 3 exons. The record is from RefSeq and is a predicted model, not a curated record. Lineage: Eukaryota; Metazoa; Chordata; Actinopteri; Cypriniformes; Cyprinidae.